This 1346-nucleotide ribosomal RNA is filed under the name uncultured bacterium. Its description in RNAcentral is "partial 16S ribosomal RNA". It matches the Rfam family "Bacterial small subunit ribosomal RNA", at positions 28 to 1381 of the family's 1533-position model. The record is from RNAcentral.
GACGAACGCUUGCGGCGUGCUUAACACAUGCAAGUCGAACGGAAAGGCCCUGCUUUUGUGGGGUGCUCGAGUGGCGAACGGGUGAGUAACACGUGAGUAACCUGCCCUUGACUUUGGGAUAACUUCAGGAAACUGGGGCUAAUACCGGAUAGGAGCUCCUGCUGCAUGGUGGGGGUUGGAAAGUUUCGGCGGUUGGGGAUGGACUCGCGGCUUAUCAGCUUGUUGGUGGGGUAGUGGCUUACCAAGGCUUUGACGGGUAGCCGGCCUGAGAGGGUGACCGGCCACAUUGGGACUGAGAUACGGCCCAGACUCCUACGGGAGGCAGCAGUGGGGAAUAUUGCACAAUGGGCGGAAGCCUGAUGCAGCAACGCCGCGUGCGGGAUGACGGCCUUCGGGUUGUAAACCGCUUUCGCCUGUGACGAAGCGUGAGUGACGGUGAUGGGUAAAGAAGCACCGGCUAACUACGUGCCAGCAGCCGCGGUGAUACGUAGGGUGCGAGCGUUGUCCGGAUUUAUUGGGCGUAAAGGGCUCGUAGGUGGUUGAUCGCGUCGGAAGUGUAAUCUUGGGGCUUAACCCUGAGCGUGCUUUAGAUACGGGUUGACUUGAGGAAGGUAGGGGAGAAUGGAAUUCCUGGUGGAGCGGUGGAAUGCGCAGAUAUCAGGAGGAACACCAGUGGCGAAGGCGGUUCUCUGGGCCUUUCCUGACGCUGAGGAGCGAAAGCGUGGGGAGCGAACAGGCUUAGAUACCCUGGUAGUCCACGCUGUAAACGGUGGGUACUAGGUGUGGGGUCCAUUCCACGGGUUCCGUGCCGUAGCUAACGCUUUAAGUACCCCGCCUGGGGAGUACGGCCGCAAGGCUAAAACUCAAAGGAAUUGACGGGGCCCCGCACAAGCGGCGGAGCAUGCGGAUUAAUUCGAUGCAACGCGUAGAACCUUACCUGGGUUUGACAUGGAUCGGGAGUGCUCAGAGAUGGGUGUGCCUCUUUUGGGGUCGGUUCACAGGUGGUGCAUGGCUGUCGUCAGCUCGUGUCGUGAGAUGUUGGGUUAAGUCCCGCAACGAGCGCAACCCUUGUUCACUGUUGCCAGCACGUUAUGGUGGGGACUCAGUGGAGACCGCCGGGGUCAACUCGGAGGAAGGUGGGGAUGACGUCAAGUCAUCAUGCCCCUUAUGUCCAGGGCUUCACGCAUGCUACAAUGGCUGGUACAGAGAGUGGCGAGCCUGUGAGGGUGAGCGAAUCUCGGAAAGCCGGUCUCAGUUCGGAUUGGGGUCUGCAACUCGACCUCAUGAAGUCGGAGUCGCUAGUAAUCGCAGAUCAGCAACGCUGCGGUGAAUACGUUCCCGGGGCU